This 1925-nucleotide ribosomal RNA is filed under the name human gut metagenome. RNAcentral's name for it is "bacterial LSU rRNA". It matches the Rfam family "Bacterial large subunit ribosomal RNA", at positions 514 to 2447 of the family's 2925-position model. The record is from RNAcentral.
GUGAAAAGCACUUCGAACAGAAGAGUGAAAUAGUCCCUGAACCCAUACGCCUACAAGCUGUCGGAGCCGCUUCGUGCGGUGACGGCGUGCCUUUUGCAUAAUGAGCCUACGAGUUACUCAUCACCAGCGAGGUUAAGUACUUCAGGUACGUAAGCCGAAGCGAAAGCGAGUCUGAAUAGGGCGUCAAGUUGGUGGUGGUAGACGCGAAACCUUAGUGAUCUACCCAUGGGCAGGGUGAAGGUUUGGUAACACAAACUGGAGGCCCGAACCGGUAAACGUUGAAAAGUUUUCGGAUGACCUGUGGGUAGGGGUGAAAGGCCAAUCAAACUGGGAAAUAGCUCGUACUCUCCGAAAUGCAUUUAGGUGCAGCCUCUGUUGUUUUGUUCUAGAGGUAGAGCUACUGAUUGGAUGCGAGGGCUUCACCGCCUAUCAAAUCCGGCCAAACUCCGAAUGCUAGAACAUGAAGACAGGGAGUGAGCCAGCGGGUGCUAAGGUCCGUUGACGAAAGAGGGAGAACUCAGACCAUCAGCUAAGGUCCCCAAUUAUAUGCUAAGUUGGAAUAAAAACGGGGUGGGACUGCUUAGACAGCUAGGAUGUUGGCUUGGAAGCAGCCAUUCAUUUAAAGAGUGCGUAACAGCUCACUAGUCGAGCGGUCCUGCAUGGAUAAUACGCGGGCAUAAGCAUAUAACCGAAGCUAUGGGAUUGUAGAUGAUACAAUCGGUAGGAGAGCAUUCCAUUCAGCGUAGAAGCAGUAUCGUGAGGUAUUGUGGAGCGGAUGGAAAAGCAAAUGUAGGCAUAAGUAACGAUAAUGCGGGUGAGAACCCCGCACGCCGAAAGAUCAAGGAUUCCCCGGCAAUGUCAAUCAUUCGGGGGUAAGUCGGAUCCUAAGGGUAAGCCGAGUGGCGAUCCCGAUGGCAAACAGGUUAAUAUUCCUGUACUGAUCAUAACUGCGAUGCAGCGACGCAGAGGUGACACUGCUGCGUACUGACGGAAUAGUACGUUGAAACCCGUAUUCUUUGAUACCGGUAGUGAAGCACGCCGGUAGAGAUGAAAGGUGAUAGUACCGCAAUGCUUCGGUUGCGCGGAUAACGCAGGUAAGCUGACUGCCAAGAAAACCUGCUAAGCUUCAGGUAAUGAUCAUCCGUACUGUAAACGGACACACGUGAUCAGGUAGAAAAUACUAAGGCGCUCGAGAGAUUCAUGGUUAAGGAACUAGGCAAAAUGGUCCUGUAACUUCGGGAUAAAGGACGCUCUUGUGAAAGAGCCGCAGAUAAUAGGCCCAGGCGACUGUUUACCAAAAACACAUGGCUAUGCUAAUUCGCAAGAAGAUGUAUAUGGCCUGACACCUGCCCGGUGCCGGAAGGUUAAGAGGAGAGCUCAGAGGCAACUCGAAGGUUUGAAUUGAAGCCCCGGUAAACGGCGGCCGUAACUAUAACGGUCCUAAGGUAGCGAAAUUCCUUGUCGGGUAAGUUCCGACCUGCACGAAUGGUGUAACGAUCUGGGUACUGUCUCAACCAUGAGCUCGGUGAAAUUGUAGUUCCGGUGAAGAUGCCGGAUACCCGCAACGGGACGGAAAGACCCCGUGAACCUUUACUGCAGCUUUGCAUUGAUUUUGGGUAACAGAUGUGUAGGAUAGGUCGGAGGCUUUGAUGCUGCGUCGUCAGGCGUAGAGUAGCCGUCGUUGAAAUACGACCCUUUUGUUAUCUGAGGUCUAAUCCCGUUAGGGAGACAUUGCAUGGUGGGUAGUUUGACUGGGGUGGUCGCCUCCAAAAGUGUAACGGAGGCUUCUCAAGGUACCCUCAAGGCGUUUGGUAAUCGUCUGCAGAGUGCAAUGGCAUAAGGGUGCUUGACUGUGAGACCGACACGUCGAUCAGGUUGGAAACAAGAGCAUAGUGAUCCGGUGGUUCCGCAUGGAAGGGCCAUCG